UACGUAGGGCGCAAGCGUUGUCCGGAAUUAUUGGGCGUAAAGAGCUCGUAGGUGGUUUGUCGCGUUGUCCGUGAAAACUCACAGCUCAACUGUGGGCGUGCGGGCGAUACGGGCAGACUGGAGUACUGCAGGGGAGACUGGAAUUCCUGGUGUAGCGGUGGAAUGCGCAGAUAUCAGGAGGAACACCGGUGGCGAAGGCGGGUCUCUGGGCAGUAACUGACGCUGAGGAGCGAAAGCGUGGGGAGCGAACAGG
RNAcentral lists this ribosomal RNA (253 nucleotides) under uncultured bacterium. RNAcentral's name for it is "partial 16S ribosomal RNA". It matches the Rfam family "Bacterial small subunit ribosomal RNA", at positions 524 to 776 of the family's 1533-position model. The record is from RNAcentral.